CUACGGUGGCAGCAGUGGGGAAUAUUGGACAAUGGGCGAAAGCCUGAUCCAGCCAUGCCGCGUGUGUGAAGAAGGCCUUCGGGUUGUAAAGCACUUUCAGUGGGGAAGAAAGCCUUGGGGCUAAUACCCUCGAGGAAGGACAUCACCCACAGAAGAAGCACCGGCUAACUCCGUGCCAGCAGCCGCGGUAAUACGGAGGGUGCGAGCGUUAAUCGGAAUUACUGGGCGUAAAGCGCGCGUAGGCGGUCUGAUAAGCCGGUUGUGAAAGCCCCGGGCUCAACCUGGGAACGGCAUCCGGAACUGUCAGGCUAGAGUGCAGGAGAGGAAGGUAGAAUUCCCGGUGUAGCGGUGAAAUGCGUAGAGAUCGGGAGGAAUACCAGUGGCGAAGGCGGCCUUCUGGACUGACACUGACGCUGAGGUGCGAAAGCGUGGGUAGCAAACAGGAUUAGAUACCCUGGUAGUC
RNAcentral lists this ribosomal RNA (463 nucleotides) under Vreelandella stevensii. RNAcentral describes it as "partial 16S ribosomal RNA". It matches the Rfam family "Bacterial small subunit ribosomal RNA", at positions 339 to 795 of the family's 1533-position model. Lineage: Bacteria; Pseudomonadati; Pseudomonadota; Gammaproteobacteria; Oceanospirillales; Halomonadaceae. The record is from RNAcentral.